GCUGGGUGCAGUGGCAUACUCCUGUAAUCCCAGCUGCUUGGGAGGCUGAGGUAGGAGGAUUGAGAGUUCAAAGCUAGCCUCAGCAACUGCAAGACUGCUAAGCAACUCAGUGAGACCCUGUUUCUA
This 126-nucleotide small RNA is filed under the name Marmota monax (woodchuck). The record is from RNAcentral. Lineage: Eukaryota; Metazoa; Chordata; Mammalia; Rodentia; Sciuridae.